AGUGAACGCUGGCGGUAGGCCUAACACAUGCAAGUCGAACGGCAGCACAGUAAGAGCUUGCUCUUACGGGUGGCGAGUGGCGGACGGGUGAGGAAUACAUCGGAAUCUACUUUUUCGUGGGGGAUAACGUAGGGAAACUUACGCUAAUACCGCAUACGACCUACGGGUGAAAGCAGGGGAUCUUCGGACCUUGCGCGAUUGAAUGAGCCGAUGUCGGAUUAGCUAGUUGGCGGGGUAAAGGCCCACCAAGGCGACGAUCCGUGGCUGGUCUGAGAGGAUGAUCAGCCACACUGGAACUGAGACACGGUCCAGACUCCUACGGGAGGCAGCAGUGGGGAAUAUUGGACAAUGGGCGCAAGCCUGAUCCAGCCAUACCGCGUGGGUGAAGAAGGCCUUCGGGUUGUAAAGCCCUUUUGUUGGGAAAGAAAAGCAGCAGGUUAAUACCCCGCUGUUCUGACGGUACCCAAAGAAUAAGCACCGGCUAACUUCGCG
This 492-nucleotide ribosomal RNA is filed under the name uncultured bacterium. Its description in RNAcentral is "partial 16S ribosomal RNA". It matches the Rfam family "Bacterial small subunit ribosomal RNA", at positions 29 to 507 of the family's 1533-position model. The record is from RNAcentral.